Molecule: ribosomal RNA, 738 nt
Filed under: Plasmodium ovale curtisi
Lineage: Eukaryota; Apicomplexa; Aconoidasida; Haemosporida; Plasmodiidae
Description: SSU rRNA
Rfam family: Eukaryotic small subunit ribosomal RNA
Source: RNAcentral
CAUUAGUAUUGGAGAUUUUGGUUCUUUGAGUAAAUUAGAGUGUUCCAAGCCAACAAGUAAAACCUUUUUACUGCGUUUGAAUACUACAGCAUGGAAUAACAAAAUUGAACAAGUCAGAAUUCUGUUCUUUUUUCUUAUUUUGGCUUAGUUACGAUUAAUAGGAGUAGCUUGGAGGCAUUUGUAUUCAGAUGUCAGAGGUGAAAUUCUUAGAUUUUCUGGAGACAAACAACUGCGAAAGCAUUUGCCUAAAAUACUUCCAUUAAUCAAGAACGAAAGUUAAGGGAGUGAAGACGAUCAGAUACCGUCGUAAUCUUAACCAUAAACUAUGCCGACUAGGUUUUGGAUGAAAGAUUUUUAAAUAAGAAAAUUCCUUUCGGGGAAAUUUCUUAGAUUGCUUCCUUCAGUACCUUAUGAGAAAUCAAAGUCUUUGGGUUCUGGGGCGAGUAUUCGCGCAAGCGAGAAAGUUAAAAGAAUUGACGGAAGGGCACCACCAGGCGUGGAGCUUGCGGCUUAAUUUGACUCAACACGGGGAAACUCACUAGUUUAAGACAAGAGUAGGAUUGACAGAUUAAUAGCUCUUUCUUGAUUUCUUGGAUGGUGAUGCAUGGCCGUUUUUAGUUCGUGAAUAUGAUUUGUCUGGUUAAUUCCGAUAACGAACGAGAUCUUAACCUGCUAAUUAGCGGCGAAUACGUUAUAUUCUUAUGUAAAAUUGAAUAUAGCUGAAUUGCUAUUGAAGAU